RNAcentral lists this long non-coding RNA (6137 nucleotides) under Sus scrofa (pig). RNAcentral describes it as "lncRNA (ENSSSCG00000056748.1)". The record is from RNAcentral. Lineage: Eukaryota; Metazoa; Chordata; Mammalia; Artiodactyla; Suidae.
UUUUUUUUUUUUUUUUUUUUUGUCUUUUUGCCAUUUCUUGGGCUGCUCCGGCCGCAUAUGGAGGUCCCCAGACCAGGGGUCAAAUCGGAGCUGUAGCCACCGGACUACACUAGAACCACAGCAACGUGGGAUCUGAGCCAUGUCUGCAGCCUACACCACAGGUCAUGGCAAUGCCAGAUCCUUAACCCACUGAGCAAGGCCAGGGAUUGAACCCACAACCUCAUGGUUCCUAGUCAGAUUUGUUAACCACUGAGCCACGACGGGAACUCUCUUCAUUCCCCUUUUGACUAAACCCUUCAACUAACCAAAACAUGUCCCUUGAUGGUGGGGUGACUUAUGCUUGCCCCGGUCUAGACAUGUCCCUCAGUGCUAGGCAUCCUUUUUAUUUGCCUAGUUAGUAGAUAGUCACAUUGGAGGAAAAUUGAUCAGAUGUUGUGAACCAGCUCAGAGCUAUGUUAAUGCGAAACACUUUAUAAGCCAUCCUUUUUUUUUUUGGUCUUUUAAGACUGCACCCAAGGCACAUGGAAGUUCCCAGACUAGGGGUCAAAUCAGAGCUGUAGCUGCCAACCUAUUCCACAGCCACAGCAACACGGGACCCAAGUUGCAUCUGCAACCUACACCACAGCUUAUGGCAAUGCCAGAUCCUUAACCCACUGAGUGAGGCCAGGGAUUGAACCCUCAUCUUCAUGGAUACUAGUCGGGUUCAUCACUGCUGAGCCACAACAGGAACUCCUGCACCAGCCUACUUUUAAUAACAAAAUCUAGGAGUUCCAGAUUUUGAAUAAUACAUAUAUAUAAACAUAUAUAUAUUAUUUGCUCACAUUCACAUGUCUCACUUUCAGCAAAACCAGGAAGAAAGAACAGGAUUUGGACUUAGGUACCAUGAACAGCCCCCAAAAUAAAAACUAAAGCAAAUGUGAAAGGCCCACUUUGAUGUAAUAACAGAAGCAUUAGGGGCCAUUGUUUUUUAGAUUUUAGGAAGUACUGAGGUCACACAGUGUUACAAUAAAAAUGUGUUCUUUAAUUUAUGGAUGCACUAGCUAAAAAUCUAGUUUUGCUAAAAAUACACCUUAGGGGAACUGUAAAAUGAAACAGCUCUGAUUAUCCAUACUUAAUUAACUAAGGCCGGUGUUAUCAAAUAUCAAGCAAAUAAAUGCAAUGCAACACGGUCUCUCAGAGUCAUAGUUCCCUAGCACCAAGAAGGGAGAUUCCCAACCAAUACCCUGUCAGUCCAAAAGGGGAGAACCCCACACAAUGCCCCAUUAGAGAUGAAGCUGAUUGAAUGACCAAAGCUAGUUCAAAAGGGAAAAUCACAACCAACACUUCCAUAGGUGAAGCCCAAAGCAAUAGUGAAGGAUACCCUGGUGUCGUCACAACAAGCCCAGUUACUCACCAAAGAUGUCUCUACUAGCCAUUGUUAAGUACUGACACACACACAAACAACAAACAUCCCACAAACAAAGUCACAAGCUGGCUUACCCCAAAACGAUAAACACAAAAACACAAGCUACAAUUGCACAGACAAUCAGAAGAGAUACAGUCUAAAAUUCUACUUCUAUUCCCAGAGGCCUCCAAAGAGACUGGCCCAGCUCUCAAAAGAGAACAGACCUGGAAUGGCUCACUUCCCACAAGGGCAGCAGCCCAAAUGAAGUGAAGAAAAUUCCUAGCCUGUGCCAGUUAGAGCAACUUACCAAAUGGGGACCUCAACUCAGGAUGUUUCUUAGCUCCAAAUAGCCUCAUGCGUUGGGGCAGCUGGUGCCAGUCCGGGACAGUCCGUUUGAGAUCCCUGGAGCGAAGUGAACUCUGGCAGCUCCUGGGACUCAGGGAAGGAGUUGCUUCUGGCUGAAGUCAACCUGAUAUAGCCACAGACUCCUGGCCGGCUCACCAGAAUUGUUACCAGAAGCAAGUCCAUGUAUCUGACCCACAGUGAGACCAAAUAAAACUGGAACAUCAGAGUUUGGAGCAGAGAAAAGUUUAUUGCAGUGCCAUGCAAGGAGAUGGGUGGCUCAUGCCCAAGAAAAAACCCCAAACUCCCCAAAGGCUUUUAGCCAAGACAUUUUAAAGUCAAAGUCAGGGAGGGGUAUGGUUGGUUGGUGGCAAACUUCUUGAUGCUGGUUGACUUCUUUGGUCAAGCAGCUCUCACAUAGGUCAGGUCAUGAUGUUCCUGUAAGCCUUCAACAAAACAAAUGUUAUUCUCUGUUCUGCAUCUUUUUAUCUCUAUAUGAAUGGACUCUUAAAGGUCAGCAACUUGGAACUAGGCUAUCCUGUAGGUUUUGGGCUAUAGGCAACAUUCUUUUACAAAAGGUGCACAGUCAGCAUGACCAUGCUCACAUAGCAAAGAACAAAGGUUAGGAGUUCUCCUGUGGAGCAGAGGGUUAAGGAUCCAGCAUAGACACUGCAGUGGUUUGAGGCACUGCUGUGGCGCAGUUUCAGUUGCUGGCCUAGGAACUUCCAUGGGUCAAGGGCAUGGCCAAAAAAAAAAAAAAAAAAAAAGCACAAAGAUUAAAACAAAAAGAAACUGAAGUUCCUGCUGCAUUGUACUGGGUUAAGGACCCAGUGUUGUCUCUGCUGGGUCUUGGGUAGCUGCUGAGGUGUGGGCUCAAUCCCUGGCCCAGAAAAGAGGGUUAAGGAUCCACCAGUGCCGCAGCUGUGGCAUAGGGUCACAGCUGCGACUUGGAUUUGAUCCUUGACCCAGAAUUUAUAUGCUGCAGGUGAGGCCCCCCCCAAAAGUAAGAAAGAACAGAUAUAAUAUGGAGUCCGAUUUGUUCUUCCUAUGGCAAUAUUUGUCUUUUUUAGGGUUGCACCUGCAGCAUAUGGAAGCUCCUGGGAUAGGGGUCAAAUCAGAGCUGCAGCUGCCGGUCUACACCAUGGGCAUAGCAAUGCAGGGUCCUAGCUGCAUCUUCGAACUACUCCACAGUUCAAGGCAACACCAGACCCUUAACCCACUGAGUGAAGCCAGGGAUCGAAGCCACAUCCUCACAGACUGCAUGUCAGGCUACUUAACUUGCUGAGCCACCAUGGGAGUUCCACUUCUUUUUUUCCUUAUUAUUUCUAUUUGAUGGAAAUACUUUAAAUAAAUCCAUUUUACUUCCUUGCAAGGAAGUGGGAAAAAGAGUUAAAUUUAUAAUGUCAUGGUAAACCACAGAUCCUGAAGCUGGAAGGCAUCUCCAGAGAUAAUACAGUCAAAGUUUUUUCUGCCAGAAGAGACAGGUAAGAACCAAAAAAGUCAAGUGAUGUGCCUAAGGGAACACAGUAUUUUGAUGGUAAAUCCUUAUAAAUAAACAUGGAGUGCAUUGUAAUUGUGUCCUCUUUUUCAAAAAUUAAGUUUUUAAUGUUGUAUGAUACUUGAGAUAUAACUUUAAAAUACACGUAUCAAUGAGUUUUGAGGAUUUUUUUUUGCCAACACAGUUGUACUAUAUUUUGAAAUGAAUACUAAACAUUAAUGUUUCCAUGAUGGCUUUUAGUUUUCUUAAUUUUCUCCGUUAAAUACUCAGCAGUUCUGUGAACAAGGCACCAUUAUUUCAUCAUUUUACAGAGGUGCAGGAACUGAGGCCCAAAUAGAUUGAAUAACUUUCCCAGUGCUAGAGGGUGCAGAAAGUAAAGCCAUCGCCAUGGUCUAGUCUUUUUUUUUUUUUUUUUUUUUUUGGUCUUUUUAGAGCCUCACGUGAGGCAUACAGAAAUUCCCAGGCUAUGCCACAGCCACACACGAUCAGAGCCUCCUCUUUAUCUACACCACAGCUCACAGCAAUGCUAGAUCCUUAACCCACUGAGCUAGGCCAGGGAUCGAACCCGCAUCCUCAUGGAUACUAGUUGGGUUUGUUAUUGCUGAGCCAAUGGGAACUCCCUAGUCCUUUUGACCUUAAGGUUUAUGUUGUAAACCAUACUCUGUCAGUUUCCUGUUUGUAACAGUAUUCAGUAAAUUUCCAGUUAGAGGUUAGUGAUUUAAUAGUAAAAGUAAUAGCAAGUGUUCAUAAUCUUAAUGGGCUUGAGCAUUUUCCUUCCCCUGAAAACAGAAGCACAUGUACAUUUACACGGAUUGCCAACAAUAUCAGCAGGUAACAGCUGAGAUCAGCACUGCCACAGUGCCAUCUUUUGCUCCUUUGUGUUUUCAAUGGAAGUAUUUUAUUGAGAACUAUAAGUGGUUUUGUAACACUUGGUGGAUUUUAUAAUCACGAAAAAAUACACAUGCUGUGUUAAUACUAGUUAUACUUUCUUUUUUUGACUGUUAAUACAAAGUAUCCACAUUGCAUUAGCAGAGCUUUUUUUUUUUUCCCCUUCCAUUUUUUGGCUGCCCAGGGCAUAUGGAGUUCCUAGCCAGGGAUCAGGUGCCAGCCACAGUUGCGACCUAAGCCAUAGCUGUGGCAACCCCCGUUCCUUAACCAACUGUGCUGGGCUGGGGAUCAAACUUAAGUUCCAGUGCUCUCAAUAUGUCAUCGAUCCCAUUGUGCCACAGUGGGAACUCCACAUUAACAGUGCUUUUAACAUUGUUUUAUCAGCCUUUAAAGUGUUCUUGGAGUUUUCCUGUGGCGUAGCGGGUUAAAAAUCUGGUGAUGUCAAUACAGUGGCUUGGGUUGCUGCUAUGGCACAGGUUUGAUCCCUGGCCUGGGAGUUUCCACAUGCCACAGGCAAGGCCAAAAAAUAAAAAUAAUGUGUUCAUGAUUGAAAUUCCAAGCCCCCAUUGGAUCUAAAACUGUAAGCUUGGGUAUCCUGGCAUCAGCACUUUUACUGAACAUCACAGGUCAUUCUGAUGUAUGCGACAGGCCCAGAUCACUUGUCUAGUUCCAAAAAUGUGUGGCAAAAAAAAAAAUUGUUUAAACUUUUAAAAGAAUUAAAAAAAAAAACAAAAAACUCCUUGACCAUGCCUGAAGAUUACCUAGACUGGGAAGACUUAAUAAUUACCUUCAAAAGUACUUAUGUAUAUUCUUGUAGCAAUUCUUCUAUAAUAGUUUAUGCUUUAUUAUUAUAUAUAGUAAUCAUUUUGUGAAACUUCUGUUUGUCAUUUAUAUAAUUAUGACAUGUUUAUAAAAUUUUAAAAUCUCCUAUAAUUAUUAUUAGCCUUUUUUAAAGAAUUUGGUGUGGUGUAGGUUGCAGACGCGGCUCGGAUCCCGAGUUGCUGUGGCUCUGGCGUAGGCCGGUGGCUACAGCUCCGAUUCGACCCCUAGCUUGGGAACCUCCAUAUGCCGAGGGAGCAGCCCAAAAUAGCAAAAAAAGACCAAAAAAAAAAAAAAAAAAAAGGAAUUUGGAAUCUGAAUACCAGAUUGCACAUUCCUAACACACAUUAUCCUGUUUAAUCUUCAUAAUAAUUUUGUGAAGUACAUGGUAUUAUCCUUUUUUUUUUUUUAACAAGAGACGAUUCAGAGGCCUUAAGAGGGAGGAUAACUUCUCCAAAGUCACAUGACUAGCAAGUGGUGGAACAUUUAUUAAUAGUUAUUUCGGAGUUCCCGUCAUGGCUCAGCAGAAACAAAUAUGACUGGUAUCCAUGACGAUACAGGUUCAAUCCCUGGCCUUACUCAGUGGGUUAAGGAUCUGGUGUUGCUGUGACCUGUGGUGUGGGCCAGUGGCUACAGCUCUGUUUCAACCCCAAUAUAUUUUAAUAGUUAUUUCUUCUUCUUCUUCUUUUUUUUUUUGGCCUCACCCAUGGCACGUGCAAAUUCUUGGGGCAGGGAUCAUAUAAUACAGCAUCGACCCAAUCCACUGGAGUGACAAUGCCAGAUCCUUAACCCACUGUACUACAAGGGAACUCCUAUUAAUAGUUAUUUCUGCUUAUUUCUUCUCUUUUGUCUCUGGGAACUUUGAAAAGAAGAAAACCCUCUUCUACCUACCUGUUAAGCUCUGUCACAGUAGACGGCUGCUUGGUGAGGUCUCAAUUUCUUUAUCAGAGAUUUGUGUUCUUUCCAGGAAAAGAAAAGAAACCCUGCAGUGGAUUGGUGGUACAGAGGAACACAAGAACACUGCAGAGUGGAUCCCCAACCCCUCCAGAAUGGCUUUUCCUGAGGGUCAUGACCAUUUGGUUUCUGACCUGGGGCUUUCCAUGCCUUAAAAAGUUGUUGGCUUAAGGAUCUUGGAAACAUGAUGAAAAUAAGAUUAUGUUCUCAGAAAAGUACACCUGCCCUUAGUCCUCUGUUUUAGAAAUACAC